UCUGAUUGGCUAAGAAUUUUUUUUUUUUUUUUCUUCGUCUCUCCUCUCUAGAGUCUGGACUCUUUCUCUCUGCUCACGGCAAAAACUCUCCGAGAAGGAACAAUCCGUCGAAUUGAGAGUUUGGUUCAAUCGAUGAUUUCUCUGGCUUCAGUGUUGGCGUCGAUUACAAAGUCAGAAGCUUAAUUGGAGAACUUGCAAUAGGUGGUAGAGGUAUUCAAGGUUCUUUGCAAAGUGAUGAUGCUUCUGCACUCGGAUACACUCUUCUUGUUGAAUAUGUGUUUGACAUUUCUUUUCCAUCAAAUCAAAACGCCCAGGGAUCAGCUGAUGUUUUGACGGACAUGCUUGGGGCUCUUGAUCCAAGUCAUCCAGAGAGAUGAGGAACUUAUACGUAAUGCCCAUUCCUUGCUCAUAUCAGUUGAAUCCCAAGACUUGGAUUGCCAAAAUUCAUUCAACUCAUAUCUGCUCCAUUGAGUAAACUGAGCAAUUGCCUCCUGCUCCAUUGGAUACUCAGGAAACCAGGAAGUAUCCACCAUCAAUGUCUGCUAAAACCAACAAGAGGCAAGAUUCUCUGUUUUUUUUAAGAAGCAGAGAAUUUGAUGAAACUAAUAACAAGAAGAUGAAGAAGACAGGAAGAAGACAAAGAAGAAGAGAAGAAGAAGACAUAUAUAUACUUGCAUAUAUGUAAUUGUAAUAGUUUAGGAUCAACCAUUGGACACAUAAUUUGAAAGUUUCUUAAUGAAAUUCUUAACUCAACAUUU
Camelina sativa (false flax) is the source of this 758-nucleotide long non-coding RNA. RefSeq lists it as uncharacterized. The record is from RefSeq and is a predicted model, not a curated record. NCBI's taxonomy places the organism in Eukaryota, Viridiplantae, Streptophyta, Magnoliopsida, Brassicales, Brassicaceae.